This 734-nucleotide small RNA is filed under the name Pongo abelii (Sumatran orangutan). Its description in RNAcentral is "retained intron". Lineage: Eukaryota; Metazoa; Chordata; Mammalia; Primates; Hominidae. The record is from RNAcentral.
AAAAAAGAGAAAUGCCAAGAAUUACAUUUCUGACAGCUUCCCUGUGCUGCUGCUGCUGCUGCUGCCGUCUAACAUUAAAGUUCCAUGGCACAUGACUGCUCUCUUUCCUUUCCCGUUUUGGAUUACAUAUAUAAAUGGAGGAGUUUCUGCCUAUACAAACUGUUUAAUAUUGAAAAUGUUUUUCUCCCUCCAGACUAUGAAGAAAUCGGGAGUGCACUUUUUGACUGCAGAUUGUUCGAAGACACAUUAGUAAAUUUUCAAGCAGCAAUAGAGAAAAAAAUUCAUGCUUCUCAACAAAGGUGGCAGCAGUUGAAGGAAGAGAUUGAGCUACUUCAGGACUUAAAACAAACCUUGUGCUCUUUUCAAGAAAAUAGAGAUCUUAUGUCAAGUUCUACAUCAAUAUCAUCCCUGUCUUAUUAGGGAUUACCAUUUCCUAAGCCAAGAGUCAUGUCAAAUUGCAGUCAGGCUCAAAACCAGAGACCAGGCUGUGAAAUCCACACAUCUUUAGAACUAGUUGUCUCCUCUUGGCCUCGGCAGCUCUUCCUUGUUCUUACUGGUUGACAUUUUGAUCACUCUUUGCACACUCUUACUUGUGUUUUUUGCUCAUUGUCACACUCCCAGCACCUAGUAUGCUCAGUAAAUGUUUGUGGAAUAAGUGCAUAAAAUGUUCUUAACCUUUGAUUCUACUUACAGCCCAUGAUACCUCUUAGAUAUAAUAAAUUUGGAUUAUACUA